GGCUUGGUAGUGGAGGGUCCACAUCUACUUUCCAUUCGAAGGGAUUAUAGAGCAUAAUGCAGAUAAAGCCUGUUCGACUCAGGCCCGAGCCA
Non-coding RNA from Mycena leptocephala, 92 nucleotides. NCBI's taxonomy places the organism in Eukaryota, Fungi, Basidiomycota, Agaricomycetes, Agaricales, Mycenaceae. The record is from the annotation of a GenBank genome assembly.